AGAACGAACGCUGGCGGCGUGCUUAACACAUGCGAGUCGGAUGCGAACGCUGGUUUCGGCUGGUAAGUAGCAUGGCAGACGGGUGAUGAACACGUACUUAACCUGACGCGUGAUGGGGGAUAGUCUCUCGAAAGAGGGUUGAAUACCGCAUAGGCUCUUGAGGUGUAAGGCUUCAGGAGGAAAGUUGGCCUCUGCGUGCAAGCUGAUGUCAUGCGAGGGGGGUGCGUCCUAUUAGCUAGCUGGGAGGGUCAUGGCCUACCAGGGCGACGAUGGGUAGCUGGUCUGAGACGAUGAUCAGUCACACUGGGACUGAGACACUGCCCAGACUCCUACGGGAGGCAGCAGUGGGGAAUUUUGCGCAAUGGGCGCAAGCCUGACGCAGCAACGCCGCGUGAGUGAAGACGCCUUUCGGGGUGUAAAGCUCUGUCAGUGGGGACGAAGGUGUGGUGAUGAACAGUUGCCAGGCGUGACGGUACCCACGAAGGAAGCCCCGGCUAACUCCGUGCCAGCAGCCGCGGUAAGACGGAGGGGGCGAGCGUUGUUCGGAAUUACUGGGCGUAAAGCGCACGCAGGCGGCGUGCCAAGUGCGAAGUGAAAGCCCUCGGCUUAACCGGGGAAGGGCUUCGCAGACUGGUAGGCUAGAGUGUCGGAGGGGGAGGCGGAAUUCCUGGUGGAGCGGUGACAUGCGUACAGAUCCGGAAGAACGUCGGUGGCGAAGGCGGCCUCCUGGACGAACACUGACGCUGAGGUGCGACAGCGUGGGGAGCGAACGGGACUAGAUACCCCGGUAGUCCACGCCGUAGACUAUGGACACUAGGUGUGGGGUCGGGAAACGGGUCCGUGCCGGAGCUAACGCAGUAAGUGUCCC
This 868-nucleotide ribosomal RNA is filed under the name uncultured organism. RNAcentral's name for it is "bacterial SSU rRNA". It matches the Rfam family "Bacterial small subunit ribosomal RNA", at positions 26 to 870 of the family's 1533-position model. The record is from RNAcentral.